AUACGUAGGGGGCGAGCGUUGUCCGGAAUGACUGGGCGUAAAGGGCGUGUAGGCGGCCGAUUAAGUCUGGAGUGAAAGUCCCGCUUUCAAGGUGGGAAUUGCUUUGGAGACUGGUUGGCUUGAGUGCGGAAGAGGUAAGUGGAAUUCCCAGUGUAGCGGUGAAAUGCGUAGAGAUUGGGAGGAACACCAGUGGCGAAGGCGACUUACUGGGCCGUAACUGACGCUGAGGCGCGAAAGCGUGGGGAGCGAACAGGAUUAGAUACCCUGGUAGUCCACGCUGUAAACGAUGAAUGCUAGGUGUAGGGGGUAUCGACCCCUCCUGUGCCGGAGUAAACGCAAUAAGCGUUCCGCCUGGGGAGUACGGCCGCAAGGUUGAAACUCAAAUGAAUUGACGGGG
This 397-nucleotide ribosomal RNA is filed under the name uncultured bacterium. RNAcentral's name for it is "partial 16S ribosomal RNA". It matches the Rfam family "Bacterial small subunit ribosomal RNA", at positions 523 to 918 of the family's 1533-position model. The record is from RNAcentral.